GUGCUUCGGGGUGAAAGUCCGGGUGGUAUGAGGAUGACGAUCCGGAUCGUGUCGGACACUCUUUUUAUCAAAUUUCAUUUAUUUCUAUCCCAUCCAUCUGACACUCUUUUUUUUUCAUUCAGUCUCAUUAAUUUUAAAUUUUUUUCCUACAUAUAACACCUUUUUCUUUUCAUUCAAUCUCAUUUAUUUCAAAUUUUUUUUCCUACAUCUAACACAUUUUUUUUUCAUUCAAUCCCAUUUAUUUCAGAAUUUUUUUCUACAUCUAACACCUUUUUU
This 276-nucleotide long non-coding RNA is filed under the name Gossypium raimondii (Peruvian cotton). RNAcentral's name for it is "long non-coding RNA (GRAI_LNC009055)". The record is from RNAcentral. Lineage: Eukaryota; Viridiplantae; Streptophyta; Magnoliopsida; Malvales; Malvaceae.